AUUCUAGAGAGAAAAUAUUCCUAAUGGAGAUAACCAGCUUUUUCCAGAAAUUCUGGUUUUCUGGGAGCCUAUUCAUCACCUUGAAGAAGUAUGAUGGUUGGAUUUAAUCCAUUCGUGGAAAUGGGGAAAUGGUCCAUGGGAAACCUUGAGCAUUUAAUGAGCUCUAAAGAAAUUAAGAAGUUUCUUUAAAGAAGCAAAUAAAUGGACUAAGAGCCAAUAUAGAACAACUAAAAGAGACAAAAACUGGAAGAACAAGAAAAGUAAAGCAACAUGAUGAAGAGCACUUGGACUUAUUUUAUUUUAUCACCUAAACAAAACUCUAAAUGGUGCUUGGCUGACAAUAUCAGCUUUCCUUUAGAACCAAAUAGAUUCAGAAUAAUUUUGGAAGCAGAUUAUUGAGGCUAGCUCUCGUCUCCACUCCACUAAUACAAGAGAAAAGAAGUGUAGCAGAGAAGAUACAGGGAUGAAACCAAUUAGAAAGUAACACCAAAAGCCUAACCCUGUUGACAAGUAGAAGGAGUUGGACAUGAUCUGUGAAGAAUUGGGUGUGUCCUUUUUCAGAAGGGAGAGGAAAAAUCCUUUUUUGCAUGCUUUGCCCACUGAAGAUACAUUUGUUCCAUAUAUAAAAUCUACAUGAGAUUGUCAGUGCAUUUAAUUUUAUCUCCAUUUUGCUAUUGAAGAAUCUAAUAUUCUUAAGGAAUUAGUGAUGUUGGAGGCAGCUGGUCUUCUGACUUGGAACCAAUAUUGAUUCUAAGGCUUAAAAGGUAAGGGUUUAAAAAAAGAGAGAGAGAAUGAGUGAUGUUCUCGUGGUGACAAAAUUAAAAAUGUCCAAGGAAUGGUUCAAACAAUUGUCUACUACUUUCAAGUUCAAGUCUUAGCCUGAAGAAUAAGACAAUAAUGAGAACAAGUAUAAACAAAGAAAGCUGCAGACUAAAAACUGAAAAUUCAAUUGUGUAUAUCCAUUAUUUUCUUUCAUAUGGGAAAAUAGUGUCAGAUGGAAGGUCAAAAUAAUAAACAAAUUGUGAUGAAAUAAUAUAAGAAAUGA
This 1045-nucleotide long non-coding RNA is filed under the name Monodelphis domestica (gray short-tailed opossum). Its description in RNAcentral is "lncRNA (ENSMODG00000050587.1)". Lineage: Eukaryota; Metazoa; Chordata; Mammalia; Didelphimorphia; Didelphidae. The record is from RNAcentral.